GAAACAGAGAUGAGUACCACCCCUAGAAUCGGGAACGACUAGCACAUAGAUACCCCAUUGUUCAAAUGCUGAAAUUGGAAAUACAGCUUUGCUGAGAUUAAUUCUAGUUUGUCUAGAGAAGAAGAUACUGGAUCUCUUGAGAUCCCAACCACGGUGUUUCUGGAUGAGGAAAAAGGAGUUCUUGUUAUGGGCUUUAAUUGCAGGAAGAGGGAGUUUUUAUUUGUUCUCCAGUUCCUUGGCAGACAUCAUUGGAA
Molecule: long non-coding RNA, 254 nt
Organism: Pantherophis guttatus
Lineage: Eukaryota; Metazoa; Chordata; Lepidosauria; Squamata; Colubridae
Source: RefSeq, a predicted model, not a curated record